Molecule: ribosomal RNA, 483 nt
Filed under: Triticum aestivum (bread wheat)
Lineage: Eukaryota; Viridiplantae; Streptophyta; Magnoliopsida; Poales; Poaceae
Description: partial small subunit ribosomal RNA
Source: RNAcentral
UGGGCAAUAUUGAAACUAUACUUUCCAGUAGUAUCGCUGGUGUUUUUUUUUUUGCAGCUUCCAGUUGCUGGAACUAUCUGGUAUGGGUCAGCAAUGACCCCAAUCGAAUUAUUUGGGCCUAAUCGUUAUCAGUGGGAUCAGGGAUAUUUUCAGCAAGAAAUAUAUCGAAGAGUUAGCAAUGGUUUAGCCGAAAAUCUUAUAGCUUUUUAUGAUUAUAUUGAUAAUAAUCCAACAAAAGGGGGAUUAUUCAGAGGAGGCUCAAUGGACAAUGGGGAUGGAAUAGCUGUUGGAUGGUUAGGACAUCCCAUCUUUAGAGAUAAAGAAGGACGUGAGCUUUUUGUACGCCAUGUGAAGGAAGAGCCUUUCUUUAACUUCUUUAAUUUGCCGUUACUCGCCAAACAGGCAUGGCAUCUGUUGGAUAAUCUUGAUUCCUUGUGCGGUUCUAUCCCAGGGCAAAAUAUUACCCCGACGAGGAUCUGUUAA